CCUACGGGGGGCAGCAGUGGGGAAUAUUGCGCAAUGGGCGAAAGCCUGACGCAGCGACGCCGCGUGAGGGAUGAAGGUCUUCAGAUCGUAAACCUCUGUCAGCAGGGAAGAACGGUCACUGUGCUAAUCAGCAGUGAAUUGACGGUACCUGCAAGGGAAGCACCGGCUAACUCCGUGCCAGCAGCCGCGGUAAUACGGAGGGUGCGUGCGUUCAUCGGAAUUAAUGGGCGUAAAGCGCUCGUAGGCGGUAUGUCAAGUCAAGGGUGAAAUCCCCGGGCUCAACGUGGGAACUGCCGUUGAAACUGGGAAACUGGAGUGUGGGAGAGGAUAGUGGAAUGCCAGGUGUAGGAGUGAAAUGCGUAGAUAUCGGGAGGAACACCAGUGGCGAAGGCGACUAUCUGGCACAUAACUGACGCUGAGGAGCGAAAGCGUGGGUAGCAAACAGGAUUAGAUACCCUAGUAGUC
This 465-nucleotide ribosomal RNA is filed under the name uncultured bacterium. Its description in RNAcentral is "partial 16S ribosomal RNA". It matches the Rfam family "Bacterial small subunit ribosomal RNA", at positions 338 to 795 of the family's 1533-position model. The record is from RNAcentral.